GAUGAAGAACGUAGCGAAAUGCGAUACGUAAUGUGAAUUGCAGAAUUCAGUGAAUCAUCGAGUCUUUGAACGCACAUUGCGCCCCCUGGUAUUCCGGGGGGCAUGCCUGUCCGAGCGUCAUUGCUGCCCUCAAGCACGGCUUGUGUGUUGGGCCUCCGUCCUCCUCCCGGGGGACGGGCCCGAAAGGCAGCGGCGGCACCGCGUCCGGUUCUCGAGCGUAUGGGGCUUCGUCACCCGCUCUUGUAGGCCCGGUCGGCGCUUGCCGACACAUCAAUCUUUUUUCCAGGUUGACCUCGGAUCAGGUAGGGAUACCCGCUGAACUUAAGCAUAUCAAUAAGCGGAGGA
Molecule: unclassified non-coding RNA, 345 nt
Filed under: soil metagenome
Description: partial contains 5.8S ribosomal RNA, internal transcribed spacer 2, and large subunit ribosomal RNA
Rfam family: 5.8S ribosomal RNA (bases 1-120)
Source: RNAcentral